AUCAAAGUUUUAUUUUUCAUGGAAAAUUUUACAAAUACAUUCAAUUAAAUUUAAUGUUAUACAAAUCAUUUAAUCAAUUUCAAUACGUACUUCAUAAUUAUAUAAUAUAAAUUUGAAUCUACAGAGUACAAACAUACAAAUUGUUAUAGUUUAUUUUACCAUGCUCUUGCAUGGUACUACAGUAACUCGGUCACAACUGGUUAAUGCCCAAUUUAUAGUAGAGAUAGAUCAUCGUUCCGUCUGUAGUACAAAUAUGGCCUACUUCGCAGCCUUAUGUCUCCAAUAAGAACUGCGAAGGAUACCAGUAGAAAUCAAGGCAUUUUUAUAAGGAAAAUAUUAUUCCAGUUGCACGCGGAGCUCAGGGGUUAGUUGUUCGAAAGUCGAUCGGCGUAAUCCUAGGUUAACCUAAAAUUCAAAGCAAACUUCCGAACGGCUUGUUUAUAAAUUUGGAAAUAUUUCUUUAGGCGUAUCAGUACGCGUUUUCUUCUCUGAAAUAAACAGACGUGCAGAUAGGGUACAUAAACUAAAACAGCAGGUUAAAUUUUAACCGAGGGUUAGUGCUAAUUUAGCUUUGAACAACCGACCCCAGAUAUAUAAAUCAGGGCGGGGAAAUGUUAAAAAGAGAGUUAUAAACGUUUCUGUGAUCAAAGUAGGGAUUUUCGUUAGGUAAUUCUACGUUUUGAAGGAUUUCUAAGAAAUAUUUGCGGAAACUGACUUAGUGUUUAACACUGAAGCCCCGUUUACACUACGCUCGAUUUUUGGUACUGUAAUACUAAAUACUUAAAUAGGUAGUCCAAGAACCAAAAAAAGUGGUAAGGGUACCAAUUUUAUCCGUGCCGUACCAAAAAUUGAGCGUAGUGUAAACGGGGCUUGAGUCCAUUGCUUCAAACAUUUCUUACAAAUCUUAGAAUUUACCUAUGCAAAAUUCCUACUGUGGUCACAGAAACUUUAGCCGUGUUUACACUACGAGCCUAAGCCUGGCCUAGGCCAACCUUUGGACUAGAUUUUUGUAGUCUAAACGCACUUCGGCCUGGCCUAGCCCUGGAAAUCUGGGCCCAUCAAAACAGGUGGUCCAGAUUUCCUGGCCUAGGCCAGGCCGAAGUGCGUUUACACUACAAAAAUCACGUCCAAAGGUAGGCCCAGGCCAGGCUUAGGCUCGUAGUGUCAACACGGCUUUUGAUUGUGUGAAACCAGCCUUAACAUGACUUGAUCACGUGACUAAAUGUAAACGAGGCUUGUCUCAACAAUAAUUCCACAACCUAAACUCUAGGUCCACUUUUAUCGUUCGUUUGAGCCGCCUUCAAGUUGUUUUUCUUAAAUGAAGUAAUUGAGCUCAACAGAUCACCUCUGCUUUUGGUCUGGGGAGGAGCGCCAUUUUUGGUGACCGCAGGUGGUGGUUGGGGUGCAGGGGGUGGGGCGGGGACUGAGGGGGCACUUGAUGCACCAUAGUUGUCUACUGAUUGAGCUUUUCCUGAAAAAUAUUGAUAAUGUUCGUAUUAAAAAAGCCAGUGUUAAUUCGUAAGCAAAAACUAGUAUGGUCAGUGAAAUAUGAACUAAAGCUUAGCUAAGGCAGUGCGUGCAUACUAAUUCUACUAUUAGUAUUAACCAAUGAGUUCUCUUUAUAUAUCUGGAUCGAGAAUUUGUGUCGUUCGGCCUAUAGAAAAGUGAAGCCAGGAUGGAGGCCAUUGACGUCGAAUAGCUAUGAAAGGUUAUUUCGCUGACCUCAGAAUAACAUUUCGUCAAAACUUUUUUCUUCAACAUUGGUUUAGAAACAAACUUGGAGUAGGGUUCGGAUUAGAGUUAUUAUUUGGAAUAGGGUUAGUAUUAGUAAAACCAUUGCUUUGUUACGUUUUGUCACUCUGAGGCCAGCGAAAUAACCUCUUCCCAUGACAGUUGCAAACAGUUUUCAUACCAU
Molecule: long non-coding RNA, 1915 nt
Filed under: Paramuricea clavata
Lineage: Eukaryota; Metazoa; Cnidaria; Anthozoa; Malacalcyonacea; Plexauridae
Source: RNAcentral